Molecule: unclassified non-coding RNA, 370 nt
Filed under: Bartonella sp.
Lineage: Bacteria; Pseudomonadati; Pseudomonadota; Alphaproteobacteria; Hyphomicrobiales; Bartonellaceae
Description: partial 16S-23S ribosomal RNA intergenic spacer
Rfam family: tRNA (bases 120-193)
Source: RNAcentral
UCUUCAGAUGAUGAUCCCAAGCCUUCUGGCGAUCUACUCAGAAUAAGCUUUUUGCUUUUGGGAAAUCGCUUUUCCGUUUAUGAGAUUAUGCCGGGGAAGGUUUUCCGGCUUGCUCCGGAGGGCUUGUAGCUCAGUUGGUUAGAGCGCGCGCUUGAUAAGCGUGAGGUCGGAGGUUCAAGUCCUCCCAGGCCCACCAAUUUUAAAGUGUUUUAACAUUUGUUGAUGUUUAUAGCAUUUUCUUGUUUUGUGAUGCUUGUUAACUUUGUUAAAGCGUUUUARAGGCAGAGAAUUUGGAAGCUUGAUCCUAUUUUAAGGGGCCGUAGCUCAGCUGGGAGAGCACCUGCUUUGCAAGCAGGGGGUCGUCGGUUCA